AGAGUUUGAUCCUGGCUCAGAACGAACGCUGGCGGCAUGGAUUAGGCAUGCAAGUCGAACGGCGAGGAGGGGGCAACCCCUCCAAGCAGUGGCGAAAGGGUGAGGAACGCGUGAGCAACGUACCCCCAAGUUGGGAAUAGCUCCGGGAAACUGGAAUUAAUACCGAAUGUGGCCCCCUUCCGCAUGGGAGGAGGGCUAAAGGCUUGCCGCUUGGGGAUCGGCUCGCGCCCCAUUAGCUAGUUGGCGGGGUAACGGCCCACCAAGGCGACGAUGGGUAGCUGGUCUGAGAGGACGACCAGCCACACUGGGACUGAGACACUGCCCAGACUCCUACGGGAGGCUGCAGUCGAGAAUCUUCCGCAAUGGGCGCAAGCCUGACGGAGCAAUGCCGCGUGCCGGAUGAAGGCCUUCGGGUCGUAAACGGCUGUCACCGGGGACGAAUCCAAUGACGGUACCCGGGGAGGAAGCCACGGCUAACUACGUGCCAGCAGCCGCGGUAAUACGUAGGUGGCGAGCGUUGUUCGGAUUUACUGGGCGUAAAGGGUUCGCAGGGGGCCGGUCAAGUCCGAUGUGAAAUCCCGGAGCUCAACUCCGGAACUGCAUGGGAAACUAAUCGGCUGGAGUCUCGGAGAGGAGAGUGGAAUUCCAGGUGUAGCGGUGGAAUGCGUAGAUAUCUGGAAGAACACCAAAAGCGAAGGCAGCUCUCUGGACGAGCACUGACCCUCAGGAACGAAAGCGUGGGGAGCAAACAGGAUUAGAUACCCUGGUAGUCCACGCCGUAAACGUUGUGUACUUGAUGUGGGGGGACUUGACCCCCUCCGUGUCGGAGCUAACGCGUUAAGUACACCGCCUGGGAACUACGGCCGCAAGGCUAAAACUCAAAGGAAUUGACGGGGACCCGCACAAGCGGUGGAGCAUGUGGCUCAAUUCGAGGCAACGCGAAGAACCUUACCCGGGCUUGACAUGUAUUGGACCGCGGCAGAAAUGUCGCUUUCCUUCGGGACCGGUACACAGGUGCUGCAUGGCUGUCGUCAGCUCGUGCCGUGAGGUGUUCGGUUAAGUCCGGCAACGAGCGCAACCCGCGUCGUCAGUUGCCCACAGGUAAUGCUGUGCACUCUGACGAGACUGCCCGUGUCAAGCGGGAGGAAGGCGCGGAUGACGUCAAGUCCGUAUGGCCUUUAUGCCCGGGGCUGCACACGUGCUACAAUGGCCGGUACAAUGGGACGCAAUACCGCGAGGUGGAGCAAAUCCUGAAAACCGGCCCCAGUUCGGAUUGCAGUCUGCAACUCGACUGCAUGAAGCCGGAAUCGCUAGUAAAGGCGUAUCAGCCACGACGCCUUGAAUACGUUCCCGGGUCUUGUACACACCGCCCGUCACAUCAUGGAAGCUGAUUGCACCCGAAGUCGUUGUCCCAACCCUUUAAACCGGGAGGAAGACGCCGAAGGUGUGGUCAGUGACUGGGAUGGAGUCGAAACAAGGUA
Molecule: ribosomal RNA, 1481 nt
Filed under: metagenome
Description: bacterial SSU rRNA
Rfam family: Bacterial small subunit ribosomal RNA
Source: RNAcentral